RNAcentral lists this long non-coding RNA (226 nucleotides) under Elaeis guineensis (African oil palm). RNAcentral's name for it is "long non-coding RNA (EGUI_LNC043265)". Lineage: Eukaryota; Viridiplantae; Streptophyta; Magnoliopsida; Arecales; Arecaceae. The record is from RNAcentral.
GGGUGCUAUUGUGAUCAAAUCUCAUAAUGAAGAAUAGUGAAAAAAAUUUAAAGUUAUUUUGAUCAUGAAUGUAUUUAGAUUAAUUCUAAAGUAAUUUAUGGUUAAUUAUAAUUUUAGCAAAAUAAAUUUAGAUAUGAAAAUUAAAUUUUAUGAUUUGAAUUGUAUGAUUGCAUAUGAUGUAGAAAUAUAAAUUUUUAUGAUACAUAUGAUGUAUACAUGAAAUUAA